GCACACUUUGUCAGUGAAGCAGUAAAAAAGUGGUUGACUUAAGGAGGUUUGCAAACAACCGCAAUGAUAAAACUAACAACCAUACAGUUUAACUAUAUUGCUAAGGAGAGUGGAAUGAAACUUCAGACAAAAGCAUGCAGGAUUGUACCACACACAUAUAGGAAAAAUAACUUUGUUUUGGUUCUUUGAACUCUAAGUUAAAUAUUGAAAAUGGAAAAUUAUUAAAUCAAGUUGCAAACAAGUUUCUAUAAGGCACAAAAAGAUUUGCUAUCCUUGACUGAACAUUAACCACUGAGAGGAAGAAAGAGAAGAUGGCUCAUAUGUGAUUGCCAAAAAGCUUUAUGACUAUCCAAAACAAAAA
Pseudonaja textilis is the source of this 361-nucleotide non-coding RNA. NCBI's taxonomy places the organism in Eukaryota, Metazoa, Chordata, Lepidosauria, Squamata, Elapidae. The record is from RefSeq and is a predicted model, not a curated record.